RNAcentral lists this non-coding RNA (216 nucleotides) under Ipomoea nil (Japanese morning glory). RNAcentral's name for it is "Eukaryotic small subunit ribosomal RNA". It matches the Rfam family "Eukaryotic small subunit ribosomal RNA", at positions 1229 to 1478 of the family's 1831-position model. The record is from Rfam by way of RNAcentral. Lineage: Eukaryota; Viridiplantae; Streptophyta; Magnoliopsida; Solanales; Convolvulaceae.
CAUAGCUAGUUAGCAGCUGAGAGCUCUUUCGAGAUUCUAUGGUGUGUCAUGCCGUUCUUAUUGUGACGAUUUGUCUGGUUAAUUCCGUUAACGAACGAGACCUCAGCCUGCUAACUAGCUAUGCGGAGGUAUCCCUCGCGGCCAGCUUCUUAGAGGGACUACGGCCUUUCAAGCCGCGAAGUUUGAGGCAAUAACAGGUCUGUGAUGCCCUUAGAU